AGCAGCGUGGCUCAAUGGAAAGAGCCUGACCUCUGGAGUCAGAGGUCGUGGGUUCGAAUCCCGACUCUGCCA
Molecule: transfer RNA, 72 nt
Filed under: Ornithorhynchus anatinus (platypus)
Lineage: Eukaryota; Metazoa; Chordata; Mammalia; Monotremata; Ornithorhynchidae
Rfam family: tRNA
About the family: Transfer RNA (tRNA) molecules are approximately 80 nucleotides in length. Their secondary structure includes four short double-helical elements and three loops (D, anti-codon, and T loops).
Source: Rfam by way of RNAcentral